Molecule: long non-coding RNA, 1878 nt
Organism: Rhinolophus ferrumequinum (greater horseshoe bat)
Lineage: Eukaryota; Metazoa; Chordata; Mammalia; Chiroptera; Rhinolophidae
Exons: 3
Source: RefSeq, a predicted model, not a curated record
GCCGCCUCUAGGGAUGGAUGGUCAGACUCUGCGAAAGGCUGCGAGAAGCCGGUCCUGCUCGCGGGAGAAAAAGGAGUUCUCGGCGUUCUCGCGACCUCAGCCUUCCCGGGAAUCGGGAGCUGCCCCCUUCCAUAUGGACGGAUCUCAACUGCUUUGUUUAAAAAUGUAAGAAAAUAAAAGGAAGAGAGAGGGGAAAAAAAGACAGUGCCAGCCACUGGUGCCACACGACGAGAGCCUGCCUGCCUGAUGUGACAGGAGACAUUCCAAAUCGGCACUUUCCCCCGGAGCGAAGCCUUUAAUUCACAUUUCCGGGCAGAGAAGAAUGAAAUCCAUUUUACACGCAACUGUCAAGUGUGUUCCCAGUGGUCAAGUUACUGUCGUCCGUCUGCCCUGUCUUGAGGCCUUGGUCUCUGUCGCUUUGAGAAGCUAGAGAGGGGGGGCCCUGGUGACCCUGACACCUUCUCAUUUCUGCAGGGUGGAUACGUCCCAUGGUGGCGUUAGGAGCUGUGCAGCCUGGCGCCGGACAGCCUGGAUCCCGAGGCUGUGUCACCACUCAGGUGACUUACCUGUCCUGCCUGUGACUGGGCUUCCUCUUGGAAUGAGUAGGGAUGACAGAGGCCCUGCAUCACAGGGGUGGGGUAAAGACUCAGUGAGUUAAUAGGCGUGACGUCCUUCGAAUGGUGCCUGGCACGUACGAGGCACUCAGUAUAUGCCGAGUGCUAUGAUUUAGGACCAGCAGGGUUCGCGUCGCCGGGUUAAAACACUCCUCCCUUCAGAAUCAGAGGACGACGAGAGUCUUGCCCAGAAAAAGCGGGACGUGGACUGGGCCCGUCAGUGUGCCUUGCCCUUAGGUGCAGUGAGUUGGCAUAAGCUGUCCCAUCAGAAUUAUUGCCCCUGAAUCACCAGCCUGCUCUGAGACCCCUGCCGUCGGGCUGGGAGCUGCAGGAAACGUGACGGAGACGCAAUGUCCGUGGCCCAGGCGGCACCACAGCAAGGCCGAGACUUGAGCCUUGAAAAGCAAAGAGAGUCCGUUCUGAUAAAGUGCCAGGAAGGUGAUUGACAUGUCUAAAACCUUCGUGGUAUCAGCUUAGCUUCCAGCGCAAGAUUACACUCUAGGAAAAACCCAUCGGAGAGCAGCAGUGUGUGAGCGGAGAGAGAUAACGUUGUCAGCUUCCCCUUCCCGAGUCUGUCUGGACCAGCAACGUGCUCUCCAGCCAAGCAUCGUCAAGGUUUUUUGCAUCCGCGGCUCUUAGGCAGGAAAUUGCCUUGGAAGGAUCUCCCUUUACCUUCCACCCCCAAAAUCACUUGAUAGAAUACGGCAUCUGAUUAGAAAAGAGAAUGACACUAAGAGAAGGAGCCUCCUGCAAACUACUCGUGCGAGGUGUGUCUCCUGGGUGAACAUGGGCCCGUGAUAACUGCCCCUCAGUCUGGGGACACGUCUGCAGGAGCCAGGCAAGGGCCGUGAGACUUGGAGGCCAUGUGGUCCCCAGUCCCGAGUCGCCCCCCCUGACUGUGGGCACGCUCAUGCUCCCCUCUUUGGAAACCCCUUCCUUCUGUGGCCCCCAGGUCACGUCAGGUUCACUGGGGCCAAUAAGCCACAUCUCUCAGGCUCUGCCAAGUGACAGAAGCUAUCCUCAAACCAGCUGCAACAGAAAGGGGAAUGUGUUGCCUCACCCCGCUGCAAAGUUCAGGGGUGGGUCACACCAGGCGUGGCGGGCGCGAUCCAGGUGCUGUGACUCAGUUGCUCUGGAACCUGCCUUCUUUUGUGACAGGGCCCCUCUCUAGCAGACUGUUCCUUCUGGAUGCAAGCUGGUUGCCACUGGCUGCACAGACGCCAGCCAAUGCAUGGGCUCCAGGGCCAGACUGCCGGGGCUUGCA